GAGGGCGUAGCUCAGUCGGCAGAGCACCUGCCUUUUAAGCAGGUGGUCCUGGGUUCGAGUCCCAGCGCCCUCA
This 73-nucleotide transfer RNA is filed under the name Phycisphaerae bacterium. RNAcentral describes it as "tRNA-Lys". It matches the Rfam family "tRNA". Rfam says of the family: Transfer RNA (tRNA) molecules are approximately 80 nucleotides in length. The record is from RNAcentral. Lineage: Bacteria; Pseudomonadati; Planctomycetota; Phycisphaerae. RNAcentral also lists the same sequence under 2 other names.